GAUGAAGAACGUAGCGAAAUGCGAUAAGUAGUGUGAAUUGCAGAAUUCAGUGAAUCAUCGAAUCUUUGAACGCACAUUGCGCCCCUUGGUAUCCCGAGAGGCAUGCCUGUUCGAGCGUCAUUUCACCACUCAAGCCUGGCUUGGUGUUGGGCGACGUCCCCUUUGGGGACGCGCCUCGAAACGCUCGGCGGCGUGGCACCGGCUUUAAGCGUAGCAGAAUCUUUCGCUUUGGAAGUCGGGGCCCCGUCUGCCGGAAGACCUACUCGCAAGGUUGACCUCGGAUCAGGCAGGGAUACCCGCUGAACUUAAGCAUAUCAAAAGCGGAGGA
RNAcentral lists this unclassified non-coding RNA (328 nucleotides) under soil metagenome. RNAcentral's name for it is "partial contains 5.8S ribosomal RNA, internal transcribed spacer 2, and large subunit ribosomal RNA". The stretch from base 1 to 120 matches the Rfam family "5.8S ribosomal RNA", at positions 35 to 154 of the family's 154-position model. The record is from RNAcentral.